GGCUCAGUAACACGUGGACAAUCUGCCUUAUGGUCUGGAAUAMCCUCGGGAAACUGAGGCUAAUACCGGAUAGGGAAAUUCUGCUGGAAUGCUUUUUUCCUUAACAUAAGAUGAGUCGGCGGCUGAUUAGGCAGUUGGUGAGGUAAUGGCUCACCAAACCGAAGAUCAGUCGGGGGGAUGAAAGUCCUAGCCCCGAGAAGGGCACUGAGAUAAGGGCCAUAGCUCUAAGGAGUGCAGCAGGCGCGAAACCUCUGCAAUGCACGCAAGUGUGAUAGGGGGAUCCAGAGUGCUUAUCUUAUGGGUAAGCUUUUGCCAAGUGUAAAUAACUUGGAGAAUAAGUGGUGGGCAAUACCGGUGCCAGCAGCCGCGGUAACCCCGGAGCCACAAGUGGGAGUCGUGAUUAUUGGGCCUAAAGGGUCCGUAGCCGAACCAAUAAGUUCUUUGUGAAAGUGUAGAGCUUAACUUUACAACGUGCAAAGAAUACUGUUAGUUUAGAGACCGGGAAGAGGCAGAGGUAUUCAAUCGUCGACCUGCAGGCAUGCAAGCUUUGGCACUUGGCCCGUCCGUUUACAACCGUCGUGACUGGGGAAAACCCCUUGCGGUACCCAACUUAAUCGNCUUGCAGCACAUCCCCCUUUUCGCCAGCUGGC
RNAcentral lists this ribosomal RNA (650 nucleotides) under uncultured archaeon. Its description in RNAcentral is "bacterial SSU rRNA". It matches the Rfam family "Archaeal small subunit ribosomal RNA", at positions 87 to 667 of the family's 1478-position model. The record is from RNAcentral.